AGUCAGGAAGAAAAGAGAUCUAGGAAUAUUAAAGAGACGAUUCCAUAUUGAUUGAGUGGGUGUAGCUAAUAAAUUUUAAUUAAUGAAAUGGAGGAAAAGUGACAGCAAAAAGGUGUCAGCUACAGGUAUAAUAGCUACAAUUUCAUAGCAUUAGUUGCUGGCUAUGUCGUGUGGAUACUUCGAUCAUUAAGCCAAUGGUAAGCUAUCUUUUUUGGGCAAAGACUAUCCAGGUUCAAUUCCUGGGUGAUCACCUCUCUUGUCCACUGACGCAAUCCAGCAUUU
Molecule: long non-coding RNA, 282 nt
Organism: Amphimedon queenslandica
Lineage: Eukaryota; Metazoa; Porifera; Demospongiae; Haplosclerida; Niphatidae
Exons: 3
Source: RefSeq, a predicted model, not a curated record